GGUUUCGUGAUUUUUGGAAGCUUACGUCGCGAGCAGCAACAAUCUGUACCGAAAUCGGCCUUUUCUUCAAUAUCUUCGCGUAGCCUCGUCGUAUCGCCGAACCGACUUCACCAACUCAUCAGAAAACCUAGCAAUUAGGUUUAUACAUGCUCAAUUUAGAUCAAACCUCUAUAUAUAGCAAAACCCCAAUUUGAGCCUUAACAUGCUACUAUUGCAAGAAAUCACCAAAUUGGAACUUGAUUCAUGCAAUUAACAUGUUAUUAGCAUCUAGGGAGUUCUCUAAACCCAUUCUUAGAGCAUACGAAUCAUUCCUUAGCAAUCUACUAUAGUUACUACCAAAGCUUACCUCCAAAGCUUUCUCUAAUAGAGAGGAAGAAGAUGAAAGCUUGAGCUCCAAGCUACUCUCCAACAUUCAAGGAUUCUACUCCAACUUCUUCUCCAAUUAAUCCUCUUUUGUGGAGAGAUUAGAAGAGAAAAGGAGUGAGGGGUGAGAGCUAGAGAGAAAGAGAGAAAAGGAGAAAAGAAACUUGCUCUCCAAGUCUCUCUCGGGUUGGGCACAAAGGAGAAAAGAGUGCAAGUUCACAUAUAUAUAUAGGCCCCCAAAAUACUUCAUCUAGCAGUUAAGCAGUUCGGAACAGUCGGAGCCCUUCUGGAUAUCCAAUGGUGCUCAAAUUUUACAGUCAGUCUCGGUUUUCCUUACUAAGAAAGAGUAUAUCUUAAGUUUUCAGUUUCGACCACGUUUGGUCACCGAAAGCUCUACCGAACUGUAAUCUUUAGCAGAUAGCAGUCGGAUUUAAUUUCCUACCUUCCGGGUGUCAGAAUGUCAUGAAACUUUAAAUCUAGCCUCAUAAAAAUAAUCCUAACAUAUUCCCAGAUUUUUGAAAUUUUUUGACACUAUGCAUUUUCUGCUAAAUAACAGUCUCGAUUCACACAGAAAAUUCAAAAUCUUCUAUUCUCGCUCCGAUUUCCGCACGAGUCGAUCCCGACUUAUAUUUUACUUCUAUAAGUCCAAUAAAAAUAGUAUCUCACACUAUUUUUAUUUAUACCCUAUUUUAAAAUCCGGUAUGCUACAUUCUACACCCCUUAAAAGAGUUUCGUCCUCGAAACUUCAAUCACACCUCAACUCGACCUAUCGA
This 1136-nucleotide long non-coding RNA is filed under the name Ananas comosus (pineapple). Its description in RNAcentral is "long non-coding RNA (ACOM_LNC024140)". Lineage: Eukaryota; Viridiplantae; Streptophyta; Magnoliopsida; Poales; Bromeliaceae. The record is from RNAcentral.